Molecule: ribosomal RNA, 332 nt
Filed under: uncultured Glomeromycotina
Lineage: Eukaryota; Fungi; Glomeromycota
Description: eukaryotic LSU rRNA
Source: RNAcentral
CAGUCGUACCGAUGAUAAAUCAGCUCCUCGAGUGCGAACUUGCGGGCGUGCGUGAGCUUUAAAACCUCGCUGUUUGCAACGUUUGUACUUUUUGGGUGUACUUUUUCGUAUGGUAGGCCAACGUCAGUUUCGAUUACCAUAAAAUGACCGGAGGAAUGUAGCUUCGAUCUCGUAUUGAAGUGUUAUAGCCCCUGGUAGAUGUGGUGACUGAAACUGAGGAUUGCAACGAAUACCCUUUGGGCUAUCCGUCUGAUCUCUGAAAGUUGCUUAGGUGCCGAAAGCAUGCUUACGGUUAUUUAAGUUGACGGUCAAUAGGUUAGAACGUGAUUACA